RNAcentral lists this long non-coding RNA (7056 nucleotides) under Oryza sativa (Asian cultivated rice). RNAcentral's name for it is "long non-coding RNA (OSAT_LNC001456)". The record is from RNAcentral. Lineage: Eukaryota; Viridiplantae; Streptophyta; Magnoliopsida; Poales; Poaceae.
AUAUCCUCAUCCAUCCAUCCAGGAGCAUCCACUGGGCAUUAGCUCGAAGCUCGGGACUCGCCGCGACGACGCGAUCGAUCGGACAUCGGAGUGAGCGAGUUAGUAGGUGACUAGGUGUUCGAUCACCGUGCCUGGUGGCUGUGGUCGAUCUAACUAGCUAGCUAGCUCGAUCGAUCGCCGGAAUUAAUGGCAGCCAUGGCGUCGCCGACCUCGCCGUCGUCGUUCCUCCCGGCGCACCUCCUGCGGCCCCACGCCGCGUCGCUCGCCGGCGCAAACGUGUUGGUGAGGGACGCUCCGCCUGAGACAGGCGGGGGCCCGCACCACAACGCCGUCCUCCGACAGCCGCCGGUGAUGUUGGCGGCGGCGGCGGGCACUCCGGAGCAAGGCAGUGGCCCACACUACAACGCGGUCACGCAGUGGAAGCCCAGGGGAGGAGAUCAACUCCGACUGCCCGCGUCGCCGCCGGUGAUCUUGGCGGCGGCGAGCACUCCGGAGCAAGGCAACGGCCCCAAGACCAACGCCGUCCUCAGGCGGCCAACGCCGCCCGGUGGCGCCGGACCUAGAGAAGGCAGCGGCGGACGCGGCGGAGUGAUCCACGCCGUCGCCGACUCCGCGCCGCAGAGGCCAGGCGCGCCGGCGGAGGGCGCCGGCGGCAAUGGUGGAGCUGUCCAUGUCGCCCCUGCUGCUGCUGCCUCUUCUUGAGUAGAAAGCUAAUGAAAAACGCACAAAAUUAAAUUAAGAUCUGAUUAAUUUCCAAAAUUAAAGUAAGAUUUUCUAGAGGUAGCUAGAUUACUGUAUAUGAUAUUAUGAUGUAGUGGUAGUACGUACAUGUACAUGUCUGAGUUGAAGUUCAGAUAAAAAUGUCUGAACUUCAGUUGGAAAUGAAGGGAAUAAAAUCAAGCAGAUUAUAUAAAAUCAAGCAGAUUACCAAAUAUCAUGCCUUGCAUAUACUCCUAUUCAAGUUCCUUUCUACUUUGAUUUUGUAAUAUAUUAUAGUUCAGAUCUUUGUGCAUGAAACCCUGUAAUUAAAACGAGCUCUAAAGCCUACACUAGUGCUAUACAUAAUACUUUUUCGAAACAAGUUGCAUAAGAUAGUGCGACGUUUCUAUUAUAUAGUUGGAAAAAAAAUACAAGUCCAUGGUCUUGGAAGUCUAUAGUCAGGAAAAAGAAAAAGACAAUCACAUCAUACGUAUACGUAUGAUCCUACUGCUAGAAAUAGAACAAACAGACAACACCCAUAAGGAAUGGGUCUUCUGAACGACGCCAAUGCACGAGCACCGUCCGCCUCCAUCCGUCCUAAAGAACCAGGACUUGGUUUUCACCUAAAUAACCCAUUAGGAGUAAUAAGCUGUUAUACAUAAUACAUUUGUAACAAACUGUUUGAUAUACAUCAUGAGUAAAUUGGCACCAGGAUAUAUUGGACCAUACAAAAUUCAAGCUAGACGUGAAGAAGUUGCAUAUCAGUUGGAAUUACUAGAAGAAUUUGCAGGUAUACAUCUAGUAUUUCAUGUAUCACAAUUAAGGAAGUGUCUCAGAAAACCAACAAAUCAAGUUCCACUACAAGAACUAGAACUACAACCAGACCUAAAAUAUGAAGAAAUGCCUGAACGGAUUUUAGAGACAGAUGAAAGAAGACCCAGGAAUAGAAGUACUACAUUUUGUUGAGUUCAAUGGAAAAAUCACACUGAAGAUGAAGCUACUUGGGAAAAACGGUUGGAAUUGUAGCGUGAUUUUUCAGAACUAUUCUUCCUUUGAGCUGAAUCUCGGGGAAGUGAUUCUCUUUAUGGGGGGUAGGUCUGCAACAUACUCAAAAAUUUCAAAUUUUUGAAGAAAAUUUAUCGCGACGAUUUUUUCAUUUGGCUCUUAUUGAAUUUUACUAAAUUGGAGCAUUUUAUUUUUUUUAUUCUUUUCAAAUUUAUAUCUUAAAAUAAAUACCUUUCGUUUUAUUUUAAAAAAUAUAUCAAACCUCUUGAUACUCUGAAAAUCUUAUUUAAAUUUUCUUGCCAAAGUUCAAAAAUUCCUCAAACUUCUCCCUUUAGAUUCCAUCUCCUUUGAAUCCUAUUCAAAAAUCAAAACCCUCCACACAAAAUCCCUAAAGGUUCCUAUUUGUUAGGGCCGAAUUUCAGUCUAUUUGGCCCAUUCCUUCUUUCUUCCUCUCCACUCCACUCCCUCCUCCUCAGGCCGCCAGCCCACCUAGAGUGUGGCCCAGCCGAGCCGGCCCAAUCAAGAGCGGCCCAGCCGGGCCCGCGAGGUCACCUCCUCUCUCUCCUAUGGGCGCCGCCGCCGCCGCCACCGCGCCACCACGGGCGCCGCCACAGCCCAGCCAAUCCCGCGCUCCGCCGCCGCCGCCGCGCCACCCCCGCGCCGCAACCACGCCUCCACCGCCGCAAACCGGGUCACCCCGUGGCGCCCCCACAGCCACCGCCGCCGGCUCCAUUUCCGCGGCCGCCGCCGCUGCCCACCGUUCUCGCCGCCGCCGCACGACGCCGCGCCACCUCCCGAGCCGCGUGUCGCCGCCGACCACCGAACCUCCAUCGCCGGCCAAUCCGACGAGGACACCCGGCGCCGCCAUCCGUAUCCCGAGCCGACGCCGCGGCGUGCCGUCGCCGGCUACAAAUACCGCAGCUCACCGGACAACAUUUCAUAUCCUCAUCAACCGCAUCCGCAUCCAUCCAUCUAUCCACCUCGCUCGAAGCUCGAUUGUCGCAACUCGCCGCGACGUGAUCAUCGGACAUCAGACUGAGUUAGUCUCGUAGGUGUUCGAUCGAUCGCCGGGAUGGCAUCAGCCUUGGCGCCGUUCCUGAUCCCCGCACACCUCCUGCAGCCCCACGCCGCGUCGGCGUCUUCCGGCCUGCAGCUCGCCGGCGCAAACGUGUUGCUGAGGGACGACGCUCCGCCCGAGGGAGGCCGAGGCCCGCACCACAAUGCCGUCCUCCUCCCACAGCCGCCGGUGAUGUUGGCGGCGGCGGCGGGCACUCCGGAGCAAGGCAACGGCCCCAAGAUCAACGCCGUCCUCAGGCGGCCCACGCCGCCCGGUGGCGCCGGACCUAGAGAAGGCAGCGGCGGACGCGGCGGAGUGAUCCACGCCAUCGCCGACUCCGCGCCGCAGAGGCCAGGCGCGCCGGCGGAGGGCGCCGGCGGCAAUGGUGGAGAUGUCCAUGUCGCUCCUGCUGCUGCUACCUCUUCUUGAGUGCAAAACUAAUUAAAGACGCGCAAAAUUAAAUUAAGAUGUGAUUAAUUUACCAAAUCCGAGGCUUGUUUGACAGGUUACAGUAAAUACAUAGAUUCAUAAUUUUGUAAGAUUUUCUAGAGGUAGCUAGAUUACUGUAUAUGAUAUUAUGUAGUAGCACGUACAUGUACAUGUGUGAGUUGAAGUUCAGAUAAAAGUGUCUGAAUUUCAGUUCGAAAUGAAGGGAAUAAAGUCAAACAGAUUACAAAAUGUUAUGCCUUGCAUAUACUCCUAUUCAAGUUCCUUUCUACUUUCAUUUUGUAAUAUUAAUAUUAUCAUUUUUUUUCAAAAAAUAUCUAUCUAUUAUAUUAUUAAAACAGUCUUGAAAGAAAGAAAUAUGUUCGCUGUGGAGGCUAGAAAUUCCCACAUUAAUCGAAGAAAAAGAAAUGAACAGUUCAAAUAGAGUACAAUUUAGAAAUAUCAAAAAUUCGAAAUUAAAAAUAAGUAGUAUUAGAAGAAGAGUCCUUAUUGAACCAAAUACGAGAUUAAUUAAAAUUCAGAAUUAAAAAUAAAAUAAAUUCUGAAAUUAGAAAAGGGAAAAAAGAGUUCAAGUAGAAAUAGAAGUUAGAAAUAUCUAAAAUUCGGAAUUAAAAAUAAUUAAUAUAUGAAGAAGAGUCCUUAUAGAACUGAAUAAGAGAAUAAUUGAAAUUUAGAAUAAAAAUAAAAUAAAUUUCGAAAAUAGAAAAAUAAUUAUAAGAGUUCAAGUAGAAAUACACUUUAUAAAUAAAAAAAUAUCAGAAUAAAAAAAUAUGGAAUUUUUUUUUAAAAAAAUUAAUCAAUCUAGAACUCAACGACAACAAAUAACAGUAAAAGAGGACAAGUAAUAGGCAUGUAAAUCAGUAAGGUGGUGAAGGGUUGAUGGGACAUCUAAAAAUUAUAAACAAAACCAGAAAUAGAACCCCAAGGAUGAUUAAGAGGUGGAAUGACAGACAGGACAUUAAGCAGCAUAGUCAUGACAGUUGGCGGGACUUCUAUAAAGUAAAAAAAUAAAUCGAAAUAACAAUCAUGUUUUAUUUUUAAAAUCUCAAUGAUAAUAAAUAGGGGAGACAACGGGCAGACCAUACAGGAGUAUAGUGGUGUGAAGCCGCUCUUCUAGAAAUUAAAAAAAUGAAUCCUUAAAAUUCGAAAUAAAGAAUAAAAUAAAUUUUGAAGAUAGAAAAAUAAUUCUAAGAUUUUAAGUAGGAAUACACUUUAUAGAUAAGAAAAUAUCGGAAUGAAAAAUAUGGAAUUUUCAAAAAAAAAAAUUAAAGUCCAUGUAGACCUCAACGAUGACAGAUAAUAAUAAAGAGGGGAGAAACAUUAGGCCCGUAAAGGAGUAAGUUGGUGGCCGUUGAUGUGACAUCUAAAAACUAUAAAUGAAACCACAAAUAUAAUCCCAAUGAUGAUUUUCUUUUACUGAAAUAAUCCCAAUGAUGAUUAAGAGGAGGAACGAUAGACAAGCCGUUAAGCAGCACGGUCACAAUGGUUGGCGGGACUUCUAGAAAGUAAAAAGUAAAUCGCAAUGACAAUCAUGUUCGAUUUUUCAAAUCUCAAUGAUAAUAAAAAUACAUGAGUAUAGUAUGGCGAAGCCGACGGCGGUUGGGCAGAUUUCUACAAAGUAAAAAGAUGAACCCUAACGAUAAUUAUGUUCAAUUUUUAAAAUCCUAUCAACAAUUAAUAUGGGAGACAAUAAGCGGAUCAUAGAGAAAUACAAUAUUGACGUUUGACAACACUCCUAAAAAUUAUAAUAACAGAACGUGACGAGACAAUGGACUCUAAAAAGUAGAAGGUGUAUUUUUUAAGGUUUAAUGGAAGAUAAAUAAAAGCCGUGAUAUAGAUCGGGUAAACAAAUAAAGGGGUGAUAAAAGAGCAAGAGUUAACGACUGGUGUGACUUUUAAAUAAAAACUAUAAAAAUUUAAGGAUGAUAAGGUUCGGUCUUUUAAGGUUAUAAGACAACAUAAUGGCUAUUUAAUAAAUUUUAAGUAAUUUCAAAUAUAGAAAAAUAGAUAAUUUUACAUGUGUGCUAGCUUUUGCGCGGAUCACCCAGCUAGUUUAGAAAUAUUUGAAUGAUAUACAAACACCAAGAGACAUCUCUUGAGAAUUUAAGGCCGUUCUAUAUGUACUCCAACCGCAAACUUCAAUUUACUCGUUUUUCGUUAGCACGUUUCCUAGACUGCUAAACGUUUUCUGUUGCAAAAGAAAAAAUAUGUAGAAGUUGUUAAAAAAUCAAAAUUUCAAAUUUACAAUAAUUAAUAUUUAAUUAAUUAUGUGCUAAUGAGUUUUCUCUUUUCGUUUUGUGUGCCCUGCAAAUAUUCUUGGUGAAACAAACGAAGCCAAAUCCGUUCCGAUAACCCCAAAACUCGCACUUUCGUUGCACAUUAACUAAAACACAAUUUUUAAGUCACAUGCCGUUGCCGUUGCCGUUGCCGGGCCGCUUCUCCGGCGUUUUCCUCAGUUCACCACAUGCCACCUCCUGCAGCUGGUCCUAUACCCUUACUGCAGGUCUGCAGCUGCAGCUCCGCCAUCAUUCUUCUUCUUCUUCUUCUUCCUUCUUUUUCUUCUUCUUCCAGCAGCUCAUGCCGGCAUCAGCAGCGUCCCCAUCACCACCAAGAACAGCAGCAUGCUAGUCUUCGUGUCCAGCUCCGGCGGCACCCAUGGGCAGGGCAAGGAGGCGGCGAGUGCGCAGGAGGGCAGAGCCGGCGAAGUUGCUGGCAGCGGCGAGAGCGAGACAGAGGCAUGCCGCGCCGACCAAGGCCCGCUCGGCGGCUGCAAGUAGAGGCCGAGGCGGCGGGAUAGGAGGAGGAGGGAGACCGCGACGGCGGCGGCAUCUGUUGAGCGGUUAAGGUGGUGGCAUGACUGUCACACACACUCCAAGCCGAGACGUGCGGGACGGAUUCAACAUCAAAUAACUUUGAUUUGAUCUAACCUCUUAAAGACGUUAUAACUGGAACCAAAUUUCUUAUAGUCAAAUAACAUACUUAGGGCAUAUUUAGCAGAGCUUGAACUCAUAAAUUUAACACCAUGAGUUGAGUCUGGAGUAGAGUUAUGGAGCUGCCUAAACCUAGAUCCACCUCGUUAGUUUAUUUUGUGAGAGUGCUCCACCCAACUACACUCCCAUUCUAGGUGGAGCUGAAAUUAUUUAGCUAGACUACAGCUCUAGUAGAGCUGUAGAGGUAGAGUUAGAGCUGUGCCAAACUGACUCUUCGUACUUACGGUGACACCAUGAAAACGAGAGUGAAAACACUGACAUGUAUAUAAUACAUACGGUGUGUCCACUGUCCACUCCAUGGUGUAUUACUGCUUCUCUGAUCGAGACACUGAUGCACUUCAGCACUUCGCAAUCGAUGACUAGAUCAAACACGUACGAUCACCACAUGUAAAUCGGUCAAGUCCAACACUGUGAAUACACACGUACGGACGAACAAAAAUCCAUUGACCACUUCCUCUCUCUCUUCGUCAACACCACUCACUAGCUACUGUCCGGUCAAACACCACACACCUGACCGUUUCGCCGCCGCGGCCACGCCCACACGCGGCGUCGCCGGCUACAAAUACCGCAGCUCACCGGACAACAUUUCAUCGUCGAUCAUCAACCGCAUCAGCAUCCAUCCAUCCAUCCAUCCGCCGCGCUCGAAGCUCGAUUAUCGCAACUCGCCGCGACGUGAUCAUCGGACAUCAGACUGAUCGCCGGAAUUAAUGGCAUCAGCCUUGGCAUCGCCGACCUCGCCGUCGUUCCUCCCGGCUCACCUCCUGCGGCCCCACGCCGCGUCGUCGUCUUCCGGCCUGCAGCUCGCCGGCGCAAAAGUGUUGGUGAGGGACGCUCCGCCCGAGACAGGCGGAGGCCCGC